Molecule: long non-coding RNA, 3153 nt
Organism: Nothobranchius furzeri (turquoise killifish)
Lineage: Eukaryota; Metazoa; Chordata; Actinopteri; Cyprinodontiformes; Nothobranchiidae
Source: Ensembl
GCGCGCGCACGUGCCUGCUCGCUUGUCCCUCCGUCGGCCGUGACGGGUGUGUGUGAGUGACUACAGACAAAUGCAUGAGAGAGUUAGCAGCCUUGAAACAGCUUGAUGAACUACUCUCCCCACAUGUUUUAAAAAUGCUAAUAUGCUAUGCUAAAUCUGCUAUGCUAAAUAAUGAUUUCUCUAUAGAACUACAAAGUCCGACUGGGGGAGGAGAGUACAGGUCUGCACUAUGGAGGGGGGCGGAGUUUACAGCUCCUCCUCCAGUUUAAAGAGACAGUACCCAAAAACGGCUCGUUCUCAAGACUCUCCUCAGAACAGGGGUAGAUGAGGGUCUGUAGAGCAACAAUAAUGAGGAAAUCAGACCAAAGAACUGCAGUUCCACUGUAUUUAGACCCCAACUGAAGGAUUUAGAUGUAAAAAGGAAUAACUUAAAAGCAUGUUAUGUCUCCUUUAAUGUUUAGAGCAGCAGGAACUCCGAGAGGCUGCAGGCGCAUCAGUGAGUUUGCUCCGCUGCACAGGGGGAGGGGGGAGAUGGCUGAAGCAGAAACUACCGUUGUUAAAAGAAAUGUGUUUAACUUUGAAAAUGUGGGCGCAAUUUUAAUUGUCAAAAACUCCAGCGAACCAUUAGUUCAUUUUGCUCAAAUAGAAAUAGAGGCCUGCCUCUAAUACUGGCCCUCCUUCCAAUAAAGGCCUGUAGCUUGGUGAGCUUGAGUCAAAUACAGGCCCGGGCCUGUAUUAGAGGAUUUACAAUAUGUUAGUUUAAAUGAGUCGACUCCUAAUUAUUUAAAUCAUCAUAUUGCUCGAAGUACAGGGCGAGGAGGAGUGGCAACCAUUUUUCAUUCAGACCUAUUUAUCAAUCCCCUACCAAUUAAUAGUUACUUAUUCUUAGUUUUCCCAAUCCAGAUUACAAAACUGUAAAACCAGUCUUGUUUGUAGUUUUGUAUCGUCCACCAGGCCCUUACGCUGAGUUUUUGGAUCAGAUCUCUGAUUUUUUAUCUCAUUUGGUGCUAAAUACUGAUAAGGUCAUUAUAGUGGGGGAUUUUAACAUUCAUGUGGACAUUGAAAAUGAUAACCUCAAUUUAGCCUUUAGUAAUAUCUUAGACUCAAUUGGUUUUACCCAAACAAUACAUAGCUCCACCCACUCCUGCCAUCAUACAUUAGACCUUGUGCUGACUUAUGGAAUAGAGUGUGAGGAAGUAACGAUAUUUCCACAUAAUCCAGUGCUCUCGGACCACUUUCUGAUAACCUUUGAGUUUUUUAUAACUGAGUUCUCGAGACAUUAAAGUAAAUUUCACUAUAGUUGGUCUCUACCUAACAAUGCUGCUGCAUCUUUUAAAUCAACUGUUCCAUCUUUACUAUCUUCAACAUCUCAGAGGAACACAGCAGAGGGCAGUAUUUUCAUUUCUAGCCCUUCACAAAUUGAUGCUUUAGAUUAUGUAGGGUUAACUACAUACUAGAAUCAACACUGUUGCUAUUCAGUUGUAGAUUCUGAGAAUGACCAAGCAGAAUAACCUAUGAGGCUUAUAUCGUGUAUAUAUUUCCGGAUACUUAUAUAAUCGAUCUAAGUUCAUACCCCAACCUGUUUGGUCAAUUUAUAAUCCAAAGAUUAAUGUUUAAUUUAAGGUAAUUAAAUUUAAUAGCAAAAGUUUAUUUUUGAAUCAGAAGCUAGGAAUCUUUGCUUUUCAAUAACCAGAAACAUUUAUACCUUUCUAUGUUUCAUUUCAAAGAAUGAGGCAAGUUUAAAAAUGAAGAAUUUUAUUACUAACAAUUUUUAAACUUUACGAUUUGAACGACAAUUAUAAAUGACAAUUCAUGGAUGACAAUUUAAUGACAAUUUUUAACAGCUUUGAUAUUAAACUUGUAUUAAAAGCAAACCUGUGGCUAGAUGAAAGCUAAAUGAAAAUAUGAGUUUGGAUGCGUGAAUAGAUUUCUCAGAAGGUUUCUUUCAGAGAGAGGAAAGCGUUCUGGGUUGGAAAUGAUGUUUUGCAGCUAACUGAGUUGUUUACUUAGAGAACAGCAUCAAACAUCAUCUGUCGAAAGUGUCUACCUCACCCAGUUUCCGGAGACCCCCUUUUGGAUCCGAGAUGUCAAGUGGAGAUGAUUUCCUCCGGGCACGAGGAUGGUAGAAGGACCUCGAUGCGACCAAAUCAGUCCUGGGUUGUCUCCGUGGGUCACACGACUGAUGAAACUAUUUGUGUCUCAAAGUCCAUAACUCUGAAGGAGUUUUUGCAUCUUAACUUAACUCAGAAAUUAAUAACUCUGGAAGGAGUUUUUCGUCAGCUGGUAACAGUUUACGUUUAUUCUUAGCUAUUCUUAUCGGCAUGACAAAACAGCUUGGCAGAGGAUCAGGGCGGCCGUACCGUCUCCUCCGGAUGGUGUUGGUUCAAGAACUGACGUGAAAGCUGUUGCAAGUUAGUUUACAAAGUCCUCAGAACACACCCACUCUCAGCAAGAAAGCUUUGGUCAUGCGUCAAAAACAUGUGUUGGCAGUUACCCUUUGUGUGGAUAAACUCUGUAUUAGAUGGAUAAGGUGGAAGCUGACCUUCAGAUUUCCUGAACACACAUUACUGUCAUCAACCAUAAUCAUAUUUAUAGUAAUCAUUAUUAUACCCAAAGCAUAAUAAUUCAUUUCAGUAAUUAAAAUACAUUUAUAUUGAACCAAGUGAUUAUUUAUGAUGAUUAAUAAACAAUAAAGUCAAAGAGCUUAUUAAUAUUAUUAUUUAAUUAUUAUCGUGAACUUGAAGUGUCCUUCUUCUGGGACGGAACAGCAGCAAAUAAUGAGUGCUACUCAGCAGACAUCAGGGCUCCUUGGUUAAUCUGUGGACUUAAAAGUUGCAGCCUGACCCAGCUUGACCCAGCUGGGUAAAUGUGACAUUUGCCACAAAUCAGAGAACCUUGAUGAUGCUACAAGACCCCCCUUUGUCAAUGGUAGGUGGUCGCAGAAAACCACCUGUCGUUGGCAACCAAAGAUGUGAAGGGACUCUCUUUCUGAAGAAGCUGUUGCAGUCCAGGUGAAGGCUGGAGAGAGGUAAGCAUUUCCUCACCCAGUGAAGACAGGAGCAUAUCCUGAGAAGUUAGUUAAGUCAACAAUUGCAGAUCAUUGUAAAGUAAUCCUUGAUAAGUUGGCUAUUUCAAUAGCAGUUGAUUAUCAUA